CAACGGAAGAGGAGUCCGUUGGAAUAGACGACCCGGAUUUCGGCUGUUGUAGGGCAGUUCCUGGGCUCCCGCGGAGCGAUGAGACGUUGUGAAUUAGAUGUGAGAAGAGGGACGCUUGGUCUGCGACCACCAAGACCCCACAGGAUCGAUGCACCCACCCCUGCUGAUGACCAUGACCAUCUAAAGGGGAACAUCAUUUGAGGGGCCCUACUCAUGGAUCAGAAGCCCCUCUUCACUGUGGGGUGUGCUGGGUUGGCGGGCAGUUGCCGUGGAAUCAGUUUCCUCAGGACCCAUAUCUGACCACCCUCAUAAGGUUGUCAGGGCGAUUCCAACAUUCGGGGUUCCCAGCAGCCCAGAUCCCCCACAUCCAGCUCUUCAGCCUACUCAGAGCUCUCCACGCUCACUCACAUGUCCCUCUCGCAAGUAGCCCGAUCAACUCACCUGGUGUCAUGGGCACUAAGGUGUUAAUGGAUUUUCUCUGGUCACCUUUGCAGCUCCACUGUUUUGAGGUCCCAGGAACUCACAGUAUGCUCUAAAAAGGAGAGGGGCAAGAGCUCUGAGUGAGUACAUCCCGUUGGCCCGUGGGAUUUCUUGCCCUAUGGAAAGGAACAUGGACGGAAGAGAAUCAGGUGCUCAGAGCCCUAGACUGGGGCUCCUCUUGCCCCAGUCUUGAGGCAGUUCUAAAGAGGUAACAUUUGAGCCAAAGACCU
Molecule: long non-coding RNA, 710 nt
Filed under: Homo sapiens (human)
Lineage: Eukaryota; Metazoa; Chordata; Mammalia; Primates; Hominidae
Description: non-protein coding lnc-ACBD6-3:2
Source: RNAcentral